This 253-nucleotide ribosomal RNA is filed under the name uncultured bacterium. Its description in RNAcentral is "partial 16S ribosomal RNA". It matches the Rfam family "Bacterial small subunit ribosomal RNA", at positions 524 to 776 of the family's 1533-position model. RNAcentral also lists the same sequence under 1 other name. The record is from RNAcentral.
UACAGAGGGUGCGAGCGUUAAUCGGAGUUACUGGGCGUAAAGGGCGCGUAGGCGGUGGAAUGUGAGUGAUGUGAAAGCCCUGGGCUUAACCUAGGAAGCGCAUCGCAGACUAUUCUGCUGGAGUAGAUGAGAGGGUGAUGGAAUUUCCGGUGUAGCGGUGAAAUGCGUAGAGAUCGGAAGGAACGUCGAUGGCGAAGGCAGUCACCUGGCAUCAUACUGACGCUGAAGCGCGAAAGCGUGGGGAUCGAACAGG